Molecule: long non-coding RNA, 385 nt
Organism: Lingula anatina
Lineage: Eukaryota; Metazoa; Brachiopoda; Lingulata; Lingulida; Lingulidae
Source: RefSeq, a predicted model, not a curated record
UCCUGUAAAUUUAUUGCACCGCUUUUGUUUUAUCUACAUCCAUCGCUCUGACAUACGACUUGAUUCAUCAUGUCCUCCAGCUCAGAGGGUGGGAGGUAAAACAGCUACUUUGUCAGGUGAUACAACGUGUCUUCUUUCAGUUGACAUUUCUUCGUGCCGGACGGCAUAAUCUGCGAACUUGAAAGUGUUUUCUAGUGCCCAUUCACUUUGUGUGUUUUUGUGUUCCCUUUGCCGCGCUGCACCUGUCGGCUUUAGCGGCGUGGCCCACCUUGAAUGCAUGUUAAUCGAAAACCAGAGAGAGAGAGAGACAGAGAGGCAUAGCAAGGGAGUGAGAGAGCUUGUAUAUUAUUAAGUGCCUUUUUUGUAAAAAAAAAAAAAAAAAAAA